UACGAAGGGGGCUAGCGUUGCUCGGAAUCACUGGGCGUAAAGGGCGCGUAGGCGGCCAUUCAAGUCAGGGGUGAAAGCCUGUGGCUCAACCACAGAAUUGCCUUUGAUACUGUUUGGCUAGAGGCCGGAAGAGGUAAGUGGAACUGCGAGUGUAGAGGUGAAAUUCGUAGAUAUCCGCAAGAACACCAGUGGCGAAGGCGGCUUACUGGUCCGGUUCUGACGCUGAGGCGCGAAAGCGUGGGGAGCAAACAGG
Molecule: ribosomal RNA, 253 nt
Filed under: uncultured bacterium
Lineage: Bacteria
Description: partial 16S ribosomal RNA
Rfam family: Bacterial small subunit ribosomal RNA
Source: RNAcentral